GGGCUCGUAGCUCAACUGGUUAGAGUACAGGAUUGUCGAUCCUGAUGUUGCGGGUUCAAGUCCCGUCGAGCCCGCCA
Molecule: transfer RNA, 77 nt
Filed under: Candidatus Taenariivivens baikalensis
Lineage: Bacteria; Pseudomonadati; Candidatus Omnitrophota
Description: tRNA-Asp
Rfam family: tRNA
About the family: Transfer RNA (tRNA) molecules are approximately 80 nucleotides in length.
Source: RNAcentral